GGAGGUUCUCAGGGCGGGGUGCGAUUCCCCACCGGCGGUGAUGGGGCCGGGUCCGCGACAGCGGGCCGACCCCACGAGCCCGCGAGCGCCCGGUCACCACGACCGGGGACCAGCAGAUCCGGUGUGAAUCCGGAGCCGACGGUGACAGUCCGGAUGAGAGAGAACGGCC
This 169-nucleotide non-coding RNA is filed under the name Williamsia sterculiae. RNAcentral's name for it is "FMN sequence". It matches the Rfam family "FMN riboswitch aptamer (RFN element)". From Rfam's summary of the family: The RFN element is a highly conserved domain that is found frequently in the 5'-untranslated regions of prokaryotic mRNAs that encode for flavin mononucleotide (FMN) biosynthesis and transport proteins. This element is a metabolite-dependent riboswitch that directly binds FMN in the absence of proteins. In Bacillus subtilis, the riboswitch most likely controls gene expression by causing premature transcription termination within the 5' untranslated region of the ribDEAHT operon and precluding access to the ribosome-binding site of ypaA mRNA. The record is from Rfam by way of RNAcentral. Lineage: Bacteria; Bacillati; Actinomycetota; Actinomycetes; Mycobacteriales; Nocardiaceae.